UUGCUUGAUAAGAUCAUCCAAAGACCUUGUCUUUAUAUAUCCGAUGGACAUUGUUGCAUAAGGAUGUAAUGCUAGCUCCUGUCUUCUCGCUUUCCUUUUCAUUAUCUCAUAACCGCAGUCUAGCAUAAGUUUAACGUCUUCCCCUUGGUUAUUUUGUUCGCUGUCAUGGAGAAUGCUGAUCGGUAUAUUGAGCUUGAAAAGUGCCUCGGCUGUGUUUACGAAUUGUUGACUUCUAAUUACUGACUCCUUGAAGUGCUUUUCAGGUUCUGUCAAUGGUUCUUGUGACACUAACCGGAGAGUUGUUUCUUGAUCGUUUCUAACAAGAUUGGAGAUUCCUGUGCCGCCUCCUUCUGCAAUAUUAGAGGGUGAGUAACUUCAUCUAUAAUGUUUAUCUUAUUUACAUGUAUAUGAAUGGAAUAAGAUUUUUAUAUCAGUACCUGUCAAUUUGGUAGAAAAACUUCUAUUUUGUUCAUCAUCGAAAAGCUUACUGUUCUGUGAGACUUCUUGAUGAAUCCCUGCAGCAUCAACUAUGAGAACCAGCUUGCAGUAUAUCAGCUAUAUAUCAUCUAAUAAGAGCAUCCUGAUGCACUAAGCUCCUGCUAUGCGCAGGGUCCGGGGAAGUGCCGAACCACAAGGUUCUAUUGUACUCGUCAGCCUUACCCUGCAUUUUGCAAGAGGCUGUUUCCACGGCUCAUCUAUUGUGCUUUUCAUCUAAUGUACUAUCUUAUUUUGCAAGAUCACAAAACUUGAAGAAGAUUGAAGAGUAAGAAUAAUUUGGCAUAGAAACAUCCGGUUUGAUGCUGGUGAUAUUUGGUUAUAGUUAGUUGGAGUUUGAAAAGCACUAAUCAUUGCGGUGAAAGGAUAAUAGGACUGCUAUCUAUAACUGUAAGAUGAUAAUACUGGUUUAAGGCGACCAAAUUGUUAAAACUAAGAGUAUCUGGCUGCUCUUCUUCUGAAAUCAAACUAAUUGAAAUAAAUACUCAUGGUCUGGCAUACCAUUAAGUUGGUCGAUAGCUUCUGAUAUCUUUGGCAUAUCUUCUCCAUGAUUCUGGUCCGUGGAUAUUUCAAGUACUUCCAGUGUUUUAUCAUGAUGCUGCAGGAAUAUAAAAAAGCAUGUUAUGAAGAUAUUGCACAUGUUCGACUAGUUUCUAGACAUAAAAUUACUCUGAAUCAUUAAAAUCUUGUCGAGCUCACAAAUUAGAUCGAAUUUUCUUCUCACAUAUGAGCUUACAUUUUCAUUUGAAAUCACUGUUUCUGAACCUAUCAGGUUGUUGCAUUCCUUUUCCAUAAUUGUGUUGCAGGAGGUACUGUUUUCUGUUUCACUAUGUAGUUCUGUUUGCAAAUUGAGUAUCUCCAUGCUCACAUCUAG
This 1369-nucleotide long non-coding RNA is filed under the name Nicotiana benthamiana. Its description in RNAcentral is "long non-coding RNA (NBEN_LNC034405)". Lineage: Eukaryota; Viridiplantae; Streptophyta; Magnoliopsida; Solanales; Solanaceae. The record is from RNAcentral.